UUAACGCUGCUUGCUCCCUUCUCAGGG
RNAcentral lists this non-coding RNA (27 nucleotides) under Rattus norvegicus (Norway rat). The record is from RNAcentral. Lineage: Eukaryota; Metazoa; Chordata; Mammalia; Rodentia; Muridae.